This is a long non-coding RNA of Vigna angularis (adzuki bean), 4067 nucleotides long. RefSeq lists it as uncharacterized. NCBI's taxonomy places the organism in Eukaryota, Viridiplantae, Streptophyta, Magnoliopsida, Fabales, Fabaceae. The record is from RefSeq and is a predicted model, not a curated record. The transcript is spliced from 3 exons.
CUUAGCCCCAUUUUUUUGUGCGACGAAGUAUUUUCAUUUUUUUCGAAACAAACACUUUGUUGAGCUUAGAGUUGACGCAACAUUCGACCCUUCUCUCAAUCACCGUAGUCGACGGCAGCAUCAACCUCAAAACUUGCAAGAACUGCAAAACCCAAUUCGACCUUUCUCUCAAUCACCCUCUUGCUUCUCGAUUUCACACUCCCCAUUUUGAAGGUCUAGUAAGUGCUUAAACCCUACGCAGAAUAGCUUUUAGGGUUUAUUACCAUACCAAUUCGGAACCCUUUCAAUUCGAAGAAAGCUCAACCAUAGCCGAUUCGAAAGCAAAUGCAAAGUGGCAAAAUCAGAAGCGAAAACAAAGAUUCGAUGCUGAACCUCAAACUUCUUCCAAGCGACACCGUUCUGAUAUUGCUCCGAAGCGUCAUGGUCCCUAGAACAAUCUUCAACUCAUACUUUGCAUCCUAGACAAAGACAAUGAUCUUUCUAGAGUUUUGUGCCUUAUGCUUGCAGGUUGUAAUUCAGACAAGAAUUUUAACGAUAUGGGCACUCAAUUCUACCAAAGUAAUCUCAACCACUGGUGGGAGCCUCACUCAAGCAUGGAUCAAAGUCAAUUUUGGCAAGCUGCCGGACAAUUUGAGAAUUAUCCACAACAAUAAUGGCAGCAACAACCCUCUCUAUCGGAAAGAAGGCCAACAAUUGAGGACACACUUCAACAGUUUUUGCAGGUGUCCAGCUCCACUCAGAAAAACAUUGAAGCAUCAUGUAAAAGGAUGGAGAUGAACCUUCGUUACAUUAGUCAGAGAUUGAACGAUUUUAAGGUUAAUGCUGAAGUUAACCCUAAGGAGGAAGGUCAAGCCAUUGUCACUGAAAGUGACAAUAUUUUUUAUGAGAAAAAAAUACGGAGAGAUGAGGAAAAGAUAGAGAGAAAAGAAGAGUUGAGUGAGAAAGAUAAAGAUGAAGAAAAAGAAAAAGAAGUGGUUGAGAGAAAGAAAAUUUGUGUGAAAAUAAAGAAGUUGAGAAGAAACAGAGAAGGGAAGGAAAAAAUAAGAGAAAAGAAAAAGAGAAAAUUUAGGGAGAGGAAAAGUAAGAAAAAGAAGAUGAGAGGAAAGAAGAAGGAAUCAUAUGAAAAACUCCAUCCUCAUUUAAAGAAGUAUCAUAGGAAGGAAAAGAAAUUUAAGUGCUUUAUGGAAAUCUUCAAGAAAUUGGAGAUUAAAGUUCCUAUGAUUGAGACACUGCAACAGGUUCCUGGUUUGAUCAAAUUUCUGAAGAAGUUCAGUAGAAAGAAGAAAAAGAAGAUGGAACAUGAGCUUUAUUGGGUCAAGCUAGUGACGUUAAAAGAGCGCUUGCUGGGAGGCAACCCAGUGAUUUAAGAACUUUUAAUUUUUGGUUUGGUGAUGUAAUUUUGAACUUUUGGGUAUUUUUGUUUUUGUUAUAAGUUUGUUACAGGGUUUACAUCUACUGAUGGAUGUUAGGCGGAAGAGUAUCUACUGAAGGAUACUAUGAUUGUAUACACCUACUGAUGGGUGGUGGUAAGAAAGAUUUGCAUCUACUGAAGGGUGCUGGAGGCAACUCUUGGGUCAGGCUCGUGAUGUUAAACAAGCGCUACUUGGGAGGCAACUCAGUUGAUUGAUUUUAUCUGUAUUGUUUGUUUUGAUUCUGCUUUAGUUAUAUGAUAGGGAUUGAAUGUUUGAGUGACCUGAGAACUUAAUUGCAAGGAGCAAGUGAGGGGCAUGAGUAGAAGGCACCUAGGGUAAGCUAGGAAGAAGAAAAACACAACACGAAAGUGCCGCUGAGCGGUGGUAUCGUAAAAUGGGCUUAGGUUGCCCCUUAGCGGAACCCGACCCCAUUAAGGUAUUUUUAUACCCUAAGUCACGCUUUGGCCUCUAUUUUCAGAUUCUUCUCUGCACACAUACUCCUAAACACUUUUCCAAAGGUUCUCUACAUUUUUCCUUUCAUUCCUCUUUAGAAAAUCUCCCUUCUACUUACUUUCUCACUAGUUUUCCAUCUAAGUUUGGGGUUGGGAGAGAGCAUCAUUGAUGGGGCUGAGUUUUUCAAAGCACUAGAGUAGAAUUUGUUUUAUCAAUCACUUUUGUUUUUAGAAUAGGGUUUGAUGUACUCAAUUGGAAACUUUGUCUGUUAUGAUGGUUUGCUUAUGAUUGUUGUUUGAUAAGUAGUGCCUGAUGAUGCUUUGAUAUUGAUUGAUGUUGAGAUGUGCUCAUUAGAUGCUUAUAUAGGUGAUUCACAAGCUUCGUGAACAAAUGCAUGAUAUUGUGAUUAUGAUUCUAAGCAGGAUGUUAUAUGUGGAAUGUGGAUGAGCUUAUGUGAGGUUUUGAGCUCCAUAAUUGUUAUUAUUGAAUGUUAUUACUUUGAAAGCAUGAAUGAUUUUGCUAAGGUUUUCUAUGAUUGAAUCAAUUGCUUGUUUUGCAUCAUAUGAUCAAGGCCAUUUGUUGGUAACUUUUUUAUUAGCCAAAUUCAUGAAUUUAGCCCACUAAAAGAGAGAACUUUGUGUUCCAUCAUUUGAACCCUUAGCCUUGAACAUAAUUUGAAAACCCUUGUGAAAAGCUUUACCUUGAGUUAAGUAGAAAAUAUUUUGUGGUAUUGAUAAAUGUUCAAGUUUGGGGUUGUUGGGAAGUUAUGAAAGGGAAAUUGAAAGCAUUGAGCUAAGAGCUAAGAAAUAAGAAUGUGAAAAGAAAAAGAAAAAGAGAAAGAAAAGAAAAGAAAAGAAAAAACAAAGCUCAAUGCAAAAGAAAGUUGGGAAUAAAUAAGAAUGAUUGUGUCGAUAUGAUGCUCUUAACUCAAGGGUUUUGUGAUCUAGAAAAAACCAAUUUUCUUGUUACCCUAGCCACAUUGUAAGCCAUUGAAAAGUCCUUGUGAUGAUGCAUGCUUGUGAAUUUAUUUGAUUAUGGUUAAAUGAAAGGCAAAGUCAAUUCAUGUGACAUUGUAAUAGUAGAGUGAAUGAGUAAUUACCUCUUAUACACUUGUGUUUGAGUGAAACACUUUACCUAGUGAGGAAAUAUUCCAUGAGCACAUGAAUAUCCAUGCUUAGUUGAUUGAUCAUUCAUGAGAAAUAGAAUUUGUUGGAUAUUAAGUGAAUUUGUGAACACCGAAGCAUGUGCAUGUCUUGAUUGAAGUCUUUGUCAUGAGCUUAAUUGAAGUACUUAUCUUGAAAAGAGGAUUUGUGAAUGGAGUGAACCAUUGUAUUGAUUGGUAGAAGAUUGAGUUACAUCUUGUUUGCUUGAGGACAAGCAAAGUUUUAAGUUUGGGGUUGUGAUAAUAGUUGAAAAACUGUUAUUUUCAUGCUUAAAGUUGAUACUAAAAGUAACCUUUAACACUCAGAAACUAGCUUGAACUCAUAUUUUUGCUUUAGUUUUGUGAAUAAGAGAGUUGAAAGUGAAUUUAAUGGUUUUGUGCAAGAUUCCCUUGAUUUUGUAGGCUAAUUGAAUGAUUUGAAAGAAGAAAUGAAGUACCGAAUGAUUAGAGUGCUGAAAAGUCCACCAGAAACCAAAAAAGUCAACUAGUCAACCAGAAAAGUCAACAAUCAACCAAAAAAGUCAACCAGUCAACCAUAAUGUUGAAAAGUCAACCAGAAUACAGAAAAAGUUCCACUGAGCGGCACUUUUCAGGUGUCAAAAUCACCGCUGAGGGGCAAAAACAGCAGCUGGGGGCAAAAUGGAUCAUGCGCUAUUACCGCUCAACGGUAAAAUACCGCUGAGCUCCAUUCUAAGUGGGCUUGGACCGGUUUUCUGUUAGUUUUAUGGGCUGGGGCCUAAUUUUCUGUAUUUUUAGAAUAGUAUAUAAGCUUUAGGACAUCCUAGGGUUUGUAUCUUUGGCUGGGACGUAACAAACACUCUCUUUUCCACCCCUUUGAAGGAAGAUCUUGGAUGCUCAGGCUACCUCUCUACCUUUCUCGGGUUUUAUCUUUCAUUCUUUCAUUAUUGUUCAUCUAGAUUCACCAUGAAUAUGGUGAACUAAACCUUGUAUUUUUGUUGGGGAAUCAAUGUAAUCUUGUGAAACUCUCAUAUAUGGAAUUUGUGUUUAAACAUCUUAUUUGAGAUACAUGCUUUCUUUCA